Molecule: ribosomal RNA, 272 nt
Filed under: uncultured archaeon
Lineage: Archaea
Description: partial 16S ribosomal RNA
Rfam family: Archaeal small subunit ribosomal RNA
Source: RNAcentral
CAGCGCCACGAGUGGGGAUCAUGUUUAUUGGGCCUAAAGCGUCCGUAGCCGGUUUGGUAAAUCUUUUGUGAAAUCAUAGGGCUUAACUCUAUGGCGUGCAGAAGACACUGCCUGACUUGGAACCGGGAGGAGUCAGAGGUAUUCUGGGGGGAGCGGUAAAAUGUGAUAAUCCUUAGAGGACCACCUGUGGCGAAGGCGUCUGACUAGAACGGAUUCGACGGUGAUUGGACGAAAGUCAGGGGAGCAAUCCGGAUUAGAUACCCGAGUAGUCC